This 2579-nucleotide long non-coding RNA is filed under the name Pongo abelii (Sumatran orangutan). Its description in RNAcentral is "lincRNA". Lineage: Eukaryota; Metazoa; Chordata; Mammalia; Primates; Hominidae. The record is from RNAcentral.
CUCUUGCUUUCCAGUAACUCUCCUCCUGGGGAGAAGGCUUUUCACGGAGCAGGCUCACAGCCUACGGGGCUGGCCUCGGACUGGAUGGGGAGGGUGCUCAACUUGCUGGAGUCAUCUCUGCUAUGGCUUUAUUUGCCAACAACAGAGAACUUGCUCUGCAGCAGCCCCAGGCUCUCUGGGGACCCCACAGGCUGUGCAGAUCCCCCAUCCCAGAACCACAGAAGGAGACGGAGCAGAAGCACACCCUGUCUUCCAGGCCCAGGACAGCUGCUGAGCUCCAGGACACGGACUCUUGAAGGUUGAUUUUAACUACCUACUAAGCUCCACCUGAACCAGUUCCACUUCUUUAACCUUCUUGUGAUCCCUGUGAGGGGUCUGUGGUAUUGCUAUUUGCAAGUAAAGAAAGUGAGAUUGAGGGAGGCUGAAAGACUUGGCCCCAAGUCACAAUGCGCCGCUGAAUGUGGUGCUGCCUACUGGAUAUCCUGGGUGCUUCAACAUCAACAGCUCUUGGCAAGUGAGUACACCAUGAAGGAUGGACGAGGGACACGGGGGAGCAAGCCCAGCUGCACGGUUCCGGCUCUUUCCGCCACAUCACAGCUUCUGCAGUUGGGAAGCCAGAACAGUGAUCUUCAGUUUGUUCAUCAAAGGGCCAAGAAAUCUGUGUCCUCACCUUCUCUGCUUCAAUUCUGGUGCUGCUUAAGCCGAUUAUCAUUUCAUGCCCUAAACCAAAAAAUAAACUCUACAAACAUCAACAUUACAUAGGACAGGAUCUGGCCCACAGAUUGGGGGCAGGAGCUGCUUUUUCAAUGAGAAGAAUGAACAGACCUAGUAGGCAUUGCCUUUAUACCCAGGUAAGAGGAAUCCCAGCCUUGGGACAGCACUUUCAAGGGCUAAGCCCAUAGGCCAUCCUUCUAGAACAUUCUCUGGGUAGCUAGGGCUUCAUAAGUCACUUGCUGGGUUUGUCCUCCCUGAGUGGACUGUGUUGUUGGUGUGCACACCUGUAUUUCCAUGGAAUGGUAUUUUAGUCCUGCUGCUAUAACAGAAUACCUGAGACUGAAAAAUGUAUAAACAAUAGACAUUUAUUUCUUAUAGUUCUGGAGGCCAGGAAAUCCAAGAUCAAGGCACCAGCUGGUUUGGUGUCUGGCGAGGGCUGCUCUCUACUUCCAAAAUGGUGCCUUGGGGCUGGGCGCGGUGACUCAUACCUAUAAUCCCAGCACUUUGGGAGGCCGAGGCGGGCAGAUCACCUGAGGUCGGGAGCUUGAGACCAGCCUGGCCAACAUGGUGAAAACCCCAUCCCUACUAAAAAUACAAAAAAUUAGCCGGGCGUGGUGAUGCAUGCCUGUAAUUCCAGCUACUUGGGAGGCUGAGGCAAGACAAUUGCUUGAACCCAGGAGGCAGAAUUUGCAGUAAGCCGAGAUUGCACCACUGCACUCCAGUCUGAGUGACAGAGUGAGACUCUGUCUCAAAAGACAAACAAAAAACCAAAAUGGUGUCUCAUUGCUGGAUCUUCCAAAAGGGAUGAAUGUAUGUUCUCGAAUGACAGAAAAGACAGAAGGGCAGAAAGUGUCCAAACUCACUCCCUCAAUCCCUUUUAUAAGGUGCUAAUCACUCCCUAAACGCCCCAUCUCUUAUUACUGUUGCACUGGGGAUUCAGUUUCAGCAUGAGUUUUGGAGGGAUACAGACAGUCAAACCACAGCAUUGUGCACACUCCUUUUUCUAUGGAAUGGCCAAGGCGCAGCUAUUUGCAAGGGCUCUGACAGAGCUCCGCUGUGGAGCUGGGGUGUCCACAUGCCUGUAUGGAAGAGCUUUCAUGGCACCGGAGCCUGGUGGGAAGAGAAGCGGGCUGGGCUGUAGGCUGGGCACCAGGGACUAUCACCUUGUGCCACCACAUUUAGUGGGAGUUCCAGAGAGGCCACAAAUUCUUCAUUUGAACUGGACUCCCCAGCCUCGUGUUCCUCUGCAGGAUGUAAAAGGUAAUGCCAGCAGACGGUGGCAGUGCUGGAGGCGCCUGGUGGGCAGAGGUUACCUGGCUGGAGUGGCAAGCGUGAGGAGAUGCCUCCCAGCAUAAGGAAUGUGGGCUUCUGUUGGAUCUCUUGUUCCAGGCCCCACACAUGUUCGAGGCAGCCUGGGUAUGUCUUGGCCUGCUCAAUCCCUCAAAGCCCUGUUUAAUUCUCAUCUUGCUGUCACCUAUGUAGUGCCAAGAAACAAGUCACCAAAAUAAUGAAAUGCUGACCUAAGCUUAAAAACAAAACCAUGAGGUCUUUCUAAAUAAAUUAUGAAAAAGCGCAAACUGCAGCUCCCUGUAAUGAUUUCAAAGACUCCGUUCCAAGAAUGCAUUAAUUUAAAAAGGGAGUAUAAGGCAAAGGGGGGUGAUUAGAAGAGGAAGGCAGCUGACAUCAAACUGAAUAUACCAAGUUUCCUCCUCAAAAACAAGUGUGCAUUAUUUGUGGUGACCAUUCUUGGUAUUGUUCUAUUGCUGUAAAACACAGCAUAGCAUCAUUCUUUUAGAUGCCAUUCAUUUCAUAUAUGGGUAAAUGUACAUGGUUAGGCUAGACUGGAGUGCUUGUCUACACUGCUU